Molecule: RNA transcript, 2760 nt
Organism: Mangifera indica (mango)
Lineage: Eukaryota; Viridiplantae; Streptophyta; Magnoliopsida; Sapindales; Anacardiaceae
Gene name: inactive TPR repeat-containing thioredoxin TTL3-like
Exons: 8
Source: RefSeq, a predicted model, not a curated record
GAGCUUUGUCGUCUCGUGAGUGAAGAAGCAGGUAAACUGUAAGGGAGUGAGUAGUUCAGAUCACUGCUAACCAAAAGGAAGAAAAUUAAAAGCUCAUUAUUCUCUCCCUUAAACAAUUGGUAUCAUUCACAUUCAUUCUUUGCUUCCUCCUUUUAUGUCACGAGAUCCCCAUCGCUCCUUUCUUUUUCUUUUUCUUUCUCUUUCACUCUUUCAUGUUUUGUUCUUUUUCUUCUAGUUUUACACUGUUAUCAUAGAGAAACAACAAACCAGAGGGUCUGUUUAAUUUAUAAUGUCACAUUCAAAGAAAUCCUUACUAGACAUAAACUUUGAUUCCCCAACCAACCGAUUUGCUAACUCGCUCACCUUCAACGACGACAACAACAAGCCAGAUUUCAAAGAACUCGAUCUGGGUUCACCUGUUUCACCUUUGCUAACCCGUGCCUCUGUUACUAACGCCAGUGGUGUCACCACAUCUAGCAGCAGCUCCAGCUCUUCUGGUUCAGCCUCUGCCAAAAGCAAUAGCAAUACCACUCCUCAAUUGCCUAAAGACAAAACAAAAAAUCACUCGGGUGAGCUCUCCGGAUCACCCGGAUCCGGCCCAACUCCACGUAAUUUCAAACCGGGUCACCGGAGAUCAGUCUCUGCUGGUCCGCCAUUGAUCUAUUCUGGUUCGAGUUUCAGUACCGUGAGUAGUAGUGGCAGUAUCUCCAAUGGAAAUGGAGCACAUUCCGUUUCUUCAAAUCCCAACGCCGCAAGUGUGCUCCCAAAUGGCAACAUUUGUCCAUCUGGAAAGAUCCUUAAAAUUGGCAUGGUGUCUCGUGUCUCUAACAGAACUGACACGUUAGGUACGGGCACGGGAAACUACGGACACGGCAGCAUAAUGCGUGGUCAUAGCAAUUGUAAUAACAAUAAUCAUAAUAAUAAUGCGAAAUUAGGUAAUGCAGUGGAUGCUGAGGAGGUGAAGAGGGCAGGCAAUGAGAUGUAUAAAAAGGGUAAUUUUGUUGAGGCUUUGAAGUUGUACGAUAAGGCCAUAUUUAUGUCGCCUGAAAACGCCGCGUAUAGGAGCAACAGGGCGGCGGCUUUGACUGCGGUGGGGAGGUUGAGUGAGGCUGUUUCCGAGUGUGAGGAGGCUGUCAGACUGGACCCUGCUUAUAUGAGGGCUCACCAGAGGUUGGCUUCUCUUUAUCUUAGAUUAGGGCAGGCUGAGAAUGUCCGACGUCACCUCUUUUUUCCUGGCCAACACCUGGAUCCUGCUGAGUUGCAUAAGUUGCAAUUAUCUGAGAAGCAUCUAAAUAGAUGUGCAGAUAGCAGGAAGAUUGGCGAUUGGAAGGGUGUUGUCAGGGAAACUGAUGCAGCAAUGGCAAUUGGAGUAGACUCCUCUCCUCAGCUUGUCGCUUGCAAAGCUGAAGCCCUGUUGAAACUCCUGCAAAUUGAAGAUGCAGAUUCUUGCCUGUCAAACAUGCCUAAAUUUGAACAUUAUCCUCCUGCAUCGCAAGUUAAGUUCUUUGGUAUGGUUGCAGAAGCUUAUGUGCUCUAUGUACGAGCACAGGUCGAGAUGGCACUAGGAAGAUUUGAGAAUGCAGUUUCGGCAGCAGACAAAGCUGUGCUUGUUGAUAGCAGUAAUUUAGAAAUUGCAGCAGUGUUAAAGAAUGUGAAAAUGGUGGUAAGAGCUCGUACUUGUGGUAAUGAGCUUUUCAGUUCUGGAAGAUACGCAGAAGCAUGCUCAGCUUAUGGGGAAGGCCUUAAGUAUGAUAGUUGCAACUCUGUUCUCUAUUGUAAUAGAGCAGUUUGUUGGGCCAAGCUUGGGUUUUAUGAAAAAUCCAUAGAGGACUGCAACGAAGCCCUAAAAAUUCAACCAAAUUACAAAAAGGCUCUUCUUCGUAGGGCUGCCUCAAAUGGAAAGCUUGGGUGGUGGUCAGAGGCCCUCAGAGAUUACGAGGCUUUGAGGAAAGAACAUCCUGGAGACAAUGAGGUUGCUGAAUCUCUGCACCAUGCACAAGUUGCAUUGAGGAAAUCUUGUGGGGAGUUCACAAAUAACAUGAAAUUGGGUGGUGAGGUAGGAGAGGUUUCAAGCCUAGAAAAAUACAAAGCUGCUAUAUCAUCACCUGGUGUUUCUGUAGUACAUUUUAAAAUAGAAUCCAGCAAAAAGUGUGAAGAAAUAUCCCCAUUCGUAAAUACACUCUGCAUGCGAUAUCCAUCGGUGCAUUUUCUUAAGGUGGAUGUCGAGGAGAGUUUGGCAGUAGCAAAAUCAGAGGGAAUAAGAACCAUUCCAACUUUUAAGAUUUACAAGAAUGGGGAUAAGGUGAAGGAGAUGAUCUGCCCAAGCCAUCAAAUCUUGGAGGAAUCAGUGAGAAGUUUUAGUCUAUAGAAUACAUAUUCGUUCAUGUUUUGUGAUGGCUCAAGCCCCCACUUCUAAUGAUGAUGCUAGUUUUGUUUUAGUGUCUGAAGAAAAGCUGGAAAACAGCAGUACAAUUGAAAUCUAUGAUCCAUUCCCUCUAGUUUUAAUGUGUUGUUGAUGGAGAGAGAUGGGGAGAUCUGAUCUGGCUGGUUGGUGACGCUGUUGAAUUGUUGGAUUCCUGCUGGAUUGUACUGAAAAGAGGGUGAAUUAUUGAUGUUUUUAUAUCCCUUGACAUCUUCAUGUCAACUUUUUCACCUUUUUCUGCCUCCUCAAUAUUCGUUUUCACCCAGCUGAGUUUUGAUUAAAUAUUCUCACUUUAGUUUUCUUUUUUCUUUUUUCUGUUAGGCUGUACUAUAAUUCUC